Molecule: non-coding RNA, 240 nt
Filed under: Pseudomonas aeruginosa
Lineage: Bacteria; Pseudomonadati; Pseudomonadota; Gammaproteobacteria; Pseudomonadales; Pseudomonadaceae
Description: sRNA regulator of biofilms A
Rfam family: sRNA regulator of biofilms A
About the family: Bacterial strain with deleted SrbA had reduced biofilm mass. However, the deletion of srbA had no effect on growth or antibiotic resistance in P. aeruginosa.
Source: RNAcentral
AUCAGGGGCUCUGAAACGACGAGCUCCCGGUGCCUGCGCCGAUACGCCCUCGGCCUCCACCGUGUUGAUCUGCCCACAAGGCGGCUUGACGAGAUUGCGACUGGAACGAAGUUGUCCUGAGGGACGGGGAAGCGUUUACGUAUCAGCCAGAUCGAAAGAUCUCGACAGCGAGUCGCCCACCGGCAACCACGAGCCGAACGGCACUUGAUCCAGUCGAGAAGCACGGUCCGCGAACUGUUC